CCUACGGGAGGCAGCAGUAGGGAAUAUUGCUCAAUGGGGGAAACCCUGAAGCAGCAACGCCGCGUGGGGGAUGAAGGUUUUCGGUUUGUAAACUCCUUUUGUUAGAGAAGAUAAUGACGGUAUCUAACGAAUAAGCACCGGCUAACUCCGUGCCAGCAGCCGCGGUAAUACGGAGGGUGCAAGCGUUACCCGGAUUUACUGGGCGUAAAGAGCGCGUAGGCGGGAUAGCAAGUCAGAUGUGAAAUCCUAUGGCUUAACCAUAGAACUGCAUUUGAAACUGGUAUUCUAGAGUGUGGGAGAGGUAGGUGGAAUUCUUGGUGUAGGGGUAAAAUGCGUAGAUAUCAAGAGGAAUACUCAUUGCGAAGGCGACCUGCUAGAACAUAACUGACGCUGAGGCGCGAAAGCGUGGGGAGCAAACAGGAUUAGAUACCCGAGUAGUC
RNAcentral lists this ribosomal RNA (440 nucleotides) under uncultured bacterium. RNAcentral's name for it is "partial 16S ribosomal RNA". It matches the Rfam family "Bacterial small subunit ribosomal RNA", at positions 338 to 795 of the family's 1533-position model. The record is from RNAcentral.